This 467-nucleotide ribosomal RNA is filed under the name uncultured bacterium. RNAcentral describes it as "partial 16S ribosomal RNA". It matches the Rfam family "Bacterial small subunit ribosomal RNA", at positions 28 to 506 of the family's 1533-position model. The record is from RNAcentral.
GACGAACGCUGGCGGCGUGCUUAACACAUGCCAGUCGAACGGAAAGGCCCUGCUUUUGUGGGGUGCUCGAGUGGCGAACGGGUGAGUAACACGUGAGUAACCUGCCCUUGACUUUGGGAUAACUUCAGGAAACUGGGGCUAAUACCGGAUAGGAGCUCCUGCUGCAUGGUGGGGGUUGGAAAGUUUCGGCGGUUGGGGAUGGACUCGCGGCUUAUCAGCUUGUUGGUGGGGUAGUGGCUUACCAAGGCUUUGACGGGUAGCCGGCCUGGGAGGGUGACCGGCAAAAUAGGGACGGAGAAACGGCCCAGAGACAAAAGGGAGGCAGGAGUGGGGAAGAUUGCACAAUGGGCGGAAGCAUGAUGCAGAAACGCCGCGUGCGGGAUGACGGCAUUCGGGUUGUAAAACGCUUUCGCCUGUGACGAAGCGUGAGUGACGGUAAUGGGUAAAGAAGCACCGGCUAACUACGU